Pelobates cultripes (western spadefoot toad) is the source of this 659-nucleotide non-coding RNA. Lineage: Eukaryota; Metazoa; Chordata; Amphibia; Anura; Pelobatidae. The record is from the annotation of a GenBank genome assembly.
AUUUAUAUGCAGAUGACACGCAAAUCUACCUGUCCUCCCCUGAUCUCUCUCUGCCCACCUUGACUCGUGUUUCUGACUGCCUCUCUGCUAUUUCCAACUGGAUGGCUGCUCACUUCCUUAAACUCAACCUGUCCAAAACAGAACUUCUAGUUUUUCCUCCCUCAAGUGCUGCUACUCCUGUGUCUGUCUCCAUCCAAGUCAACGGCGCUACUAUCACCUCUACCUCCCAGGCUCGCUGCCUAGGGGUUCUUUUUGAUUCUGAUCUCUCUUUUACUCCCCAUGUUCAAUCGAUAACCAAAUCCUGUCGCUUCCAACUCAAGAACAUAGCGCGCAUCCGCCCAUAUCUAACGCCAGACGCGGCUAAGGUACUGGUUCAUGCUGUUGUUCUCUCUCGCCUUGACUAUUGCAAUCCCCUUCUCACCGGUCUUACAUGUUCCCAGCUUGCACCGCUGCAAUCUAUAAUGAAUACGGCUGCGAGGCUUAUUUUCCUGUCCGGUCGCACCUCCCACGCCUCCACGCUCUGUCAGUCCCUGCAUUGGCUUCCAGUUAGAUAUAGGGCCCAAUUCAAAAUUCUGGCGCUUGCUUACAAAUCCCUACAUAAUGCUGCUCCAACAUACCUAUCCUCCCUCAUACACAAGUAUGUCCCGUCGAGACCCCUG